RNAcentral lists this ribosomal RNA (750 nucleotides) under Fructobacillus fructosus. Its description in RNAcentral is "bacterial SSU rRNA". It matches the Rfam family "Bacterial small subunit ribosomal RNA", at positions 81 to 820 of the family's 1533-position model. Lineage: Bacteria; Bacillati; Bacillota; Bacilli; Lactobacillales; Lactobacillaceae. The record is from RNAcentral.
GCACUUUCCAGUAAGUGGCGAACGGGAGAGUGCACGUGAAUAACCUACCUCAAAGUCUGGGAUAACCAUUGGAAACAGUGACUAAUACCGGAUAAAACCCAAGUGCACAUGCACUAAGGUUAAAAGCUGCGUUUGCAGCGCUUUAAGAUGGAUUCGCGGUGCAUUAGUUAGUUGGUGAGGUAAAGGCUCACCAAGACGAUGAUGCAUAGCCGAGUUGAGAGACUGACCGGCCACAUUGGGACUGAGACACGGCCCAAACUCCUACGGGAGGCUGCAGUAGGGAAUCUUCCACAAUGGGCGCAAGCCUGAUGGAGCAACGCCGCGUGUGUGAUGAAGGCUUUCGGGUCGUAAAGCACUGUUGUAUGGGAAGAACGGGUUUAAGAGGAAAUGCUUAGACAGUGACGGUACCAUACCAGAAAGGGACGGCUAAAUACGUGCCAGCAGCCGCGGUAAUACGUAUGUCCCGAGCGUUAUCCGGAUUUAUUGGGCGUAAAGCGAGCGCAGACGGUUGCUUAAGUCUGAAGUGAAAGCCCACAGCUCAACUGUGGAAUGGCUUUGGAAACUGGGCAACUUGAGUACAGUAGAGGUAAGUGGAACUCCAUGUGUAGCGGUGGAAUGCGUAGAUAUAUGGAAGAACACCAGUGGCGAAGGCGGCUUACUGGACUGCAACUGACGUUGAGGCUCGAAAGUGUGGGUAGCAAACAGGAUUAGAUACCCUGGUAGUCCACACCGUAAACGAUGGAUACUAGU